This 261-nucleotide ribosomal RNA is filed under the name uncultured bacterium. RNAcentral describes it as "partial 16S ribosomal RNA". It matches the Rfam family "Bacterial small subunit ribosomal RNA", at positions 90 to 354 of the family's 1533-position model. The record is from RNAcentral.
UUCGAGUGGCGACGGGUGAGUAACGCGUGGGUAACCUGCCUUACACAGGGGGAUAACACCUGGAAACAGGUGCUAAUACCGCAUAAGCGCACAGGGCCGCAUGGCCCGGUGUGAAAAACUCCGGUGGUGUAAGAUGGACCCGCGUCUGAUUAGCUUGUUGGCGGGUAGGGCCCACCAAGGCGACGAUCAGUAGCCGGCCUGAGAGGGUGGACGGCCACAUUGGGACUGAGACACGGCCCAAACUCCUACGGAAGGCAGCAG